Molecule: ribosomal RNA, 510 nt
Filed under: uncultured bacterium
Lineage: Bacteria
Description: partial 16S ribosomal RNA
Rfam family: Bacterial small subunit ribosomal RNA
Source: RNAcentral
GACGAACGCUGGCGGCGUGCUUAACACAUGCAAGUCGAACGAAGAGCGAUGGAAGCUUGCUUCUAUCAAUCUUAGUGGCGAACGUGUGAGUAACGCGUAAUCAACCUGCCCUUCAGAGGGGGACAACAGUUGGAAACGACUGCUCAUACCGCAUACGAUCUAAUCUCGGCAUCGAGGAUAGAUGAAAGGUGGCCUCUACAUGUAAGCUAUCACUGCAGGAGGGGAUUGCGUCUGAUUAGCUAGUUGGAGGGGUAACGUCCCACCAAGGCGAUGAUCAGUAGCCGGUCUGAGAGGAUGAACGGCAACAUUGGGACUGAGACACGGCCCAGACUCCUACGGGAGGCAGCAGUGGGGAAUCUUCCGCAAUGGACGAAAGUCUGACGGAGCAACGCCGCGUGAGUGAUGACGGCCUUCGGGUUGUAAAGCUCUGUUAAUCGGGACGAAAGGCCUUCUUGCGAAUAGUGAGAAGGAUUGACGGUACCGGAAUAGAAAGCCACGGCUAACUACGUG